This 494-nucleotide ribosomal RNA is filed under the name uncultured bacterium. RNAcentral's name for it is "partial 16S ribosomal RNA". It matches the Rfam family "Bacterial small subunit ribosomal RNA", at positions 28 to 507 of the family's 1533-position model. The record is from RNAcentral.
GACGAACGCUGGCGGCGUGCUUAACACAUGCAAGUCGAACGGUGAAGCGCCUUCCUUUUUGGUGGGUGUGGAUGAGUGGCGAACGGGUGAGUAACACGUGAGUAACCUGCCCCCUUCUUCUGGAUAACCGCAUGAAAGUGUGGCUAAUACUGGAUAUUCUGGGUCUGUCGCAUGAUGGGUCUGGGCAAGAUAUUGUUUCGGUGGGUGAUGGGCUCGCGGCCUAUCAGCUUGUUGGUGGGGUGAUGGCCUACCAAGGCGGUGACGGGUAGCCGGCCUGAGAGGGUGGACGGUCACACUGGGACUGAGACACGGCCCAGACUCCGACGGGAGGCAGCAGUGGGGAAUAUUGCACAAUGGGCGCAAGCCUGAUGCAGCGACGCCGCGGGAGGGAUGGAGGCCUUCGGGUUGUGAACCUCUUUCGCCAGUGAAGCAGGCCUGCCUCGUUUGUGGGUGGGUUGACGGUAGCUGGAUAAGAAGCGCCGGCUAACUACGUG